GAUUUCUGGUAUGGUGCGCCUGGCCCACGGUUGCAAAACCGCGAGUGUCGGUGUGCGCCUGCCAUCUUUCUAGUUAACUGGACGCACUUAACUGGGCGGUCAGCGAUCUAGUUCUUUUACUUUGAAAAAAUUAGAGUGUUUAAAGCAGGCUUGCGCUAUGAAUACAUUAGCAUGGAAUAAUAAUUUAGGACUUUGCUCUUAUUUUAUUGGUUUCUAGGAGUUAAGUAAUGAUUGAUAGGGAUAGUUGGGGGUGCUAGUAUUCAUCGGCCAGAGGUGAAAUUCUUGGAUUCGAUGAAGACUAACUAAUGCGAAAGCAUU
RNAcentral lists this ribosomal RNA (318 nucleotides) under uncultured Cercomonas. Its description in RNAcentral is "SSU rRNA". The stretch from base 58 to 318 matches the Rfam family "Eukaryotic small subunit ribosomal RNA", at positions 693 to 955 of the family's 1831-position model. The record is from RNAcentral. Lineage: Eukaryota; Cercozoa; Cercomonadida; Cercomonadidae.